UCUUCCUCCUCUUCUCUUCAUUCUCUUCCUGUUCCUCUUCUUCCUCCUCCCAUCUCUUCGUCUUCCUCCUCUGGAUCCGCCCCCUCCCCUCUCCUCCCCACCUCUCAGACGGUCGGGCCACGGCGGCCAGGCGGCGCGGAGGCGGCCUCGCGCGGCGGCCUGGCGGCAGCGAAUCUGGGAGGGGAGGCGGCUGGCUGUCCUCUUCUCUUCAUUCUCUUCCUGUUCCUCUUCUUCCUCCUCCCAUCUCUUCGUCUUCCUCCUCUGGAUCCGCCCCCUCCCCUCUCCUCCCCACCUCUCAGACGGUCGGGCCACGGCGGCCGGGCGGCACGAAGGCGGCCUCGCGCGGCGGCCUGGCGGCAGCGAAUCUGGGAGGGGAGGCGGCCGGCCGCCGCUGGAUCCGAGAGGGGCAGAUCUGCACGUAUUUUUUUUCUUUUUUCUUCUCUGUGUUGAAUGCAAUCUGUGAUGAGGAUGUUGAAUGAUUCAAUCUGUGUUAAUUCGAUCUAUGCUGCGAAUGAACUAUAUUAUUAUGAAUGAUUUGGGACGAAGUUGUUGUGAAUGAUUUGGGUUGAGAAUGUUGUGUUGAUUUGGGAUGAAGUUGCAAGUUGUUGUGUUGAUUUGGGAUGAAGUUGCUGUGAAUGAUUUGAGAUAAUGGGCGUGAGCUAAAAAAAAUAGCAAAAAAAAAAAACUUAGUCCUGAUUGGUGUUACAAACCAGGACUAACGAUACUAUAUCUUUAGUCGAUCUUUAGUCCCGGGUGUUUGAACCCGGAUUUGUAAUCCCGGUUUGAAAACCGGGACUAAAGGAAAUUACCAACUGGGAGUAUAAACCAUCUCUCCACCAGUGAAUGUAAGAGAACACAGCCACAGGUUAUUUCAUAUGGGGUCAGAUAGCCAUGUCUCUUGCAGUACCUAGUUAGAGGACAC
This 922-nucleotide long non-coding RNA is filed under the name Oryza sativa (Asian cultivated rice). RNAcentral's name for it is "long non-coding RNA (OSAT_LNC001987)". The record is from RNAcentral. Lineage: Eukaryota; Viridiplantae; Streptophyta; Magnoliopsida; Poales; Poaceae.